CAUCGCAAAUAUGGCGGAGGACUCCUUGGGGAAUUCGAGCCCAGGGGUUUCAGUCGGCUCAGAUAGCCUUGACUUUGAUCCUUCGGCAGAAAUGCCCGUGCACGACUUUGACGAUGAGCGCACUCUGGAAGAGGAGGAGCUGCUGGAGGGAGAGACCAACUUCAGCAACGAGAUCGAAGACCUCAACAGGGAAGGAGAGAUGCCCAUUCAAGAGCUCCUGAGUCUCUAUGGUUAUGGCACCGGUGAGUCGCCAGAGGAAGAGGAGGAUGAGGAUGAGGAGGAUGAGGAAGAGGAUGGAGAAGAGGAAGAUGAGGAGGAUGAAGGAGAGGAACUGGAUAAUGAUGAGAGCAGCCGAAGCACUGGAGAACUGAAGAGGGUUAAGGACGAGGGUGUGAAGAUCUCGAAGGGUCUGGAGGCCCACUCGGCCGGCGAAGGACGCACUCUCACGUCUAAAGGCUGCAGCACUGCCGAGCUCAUCCGCCCCCAGAACUGCAGCUACUUCCAAAAUAACGAAGUGGACGAGGAAUCUGAGGAGGAUGAGGACUACAUUCCCUCGGAGGAUUGGAAAAAGGAGAUCAUGGUUGGCUCCAUGUACCAGGCAGAGACGCCCGCGGGGCUCUGUAAAUACAAGGAAAACGAGAGAGUGUAUGAAAAUGACGACCAGCUUCUGUGGAAUCCAGAGUUCCUUCCGGAACACACUGUGGUGGAGUUCUUAACGGAGGCGUGCCGGCGCACGGGUGAGGAGACUGGAGUGGACGCCAUUCCUGAGGGCUCGCACAUUAAAGACAAUGAGCAGGCCCUCUACGAGCUGGUGAAGUGCGACUUUGACACGGAAGAAGCCCUGCGAAGACUGCGAUUCAACGUCAAAGCCGCCAGAGAAGAGCUCUCCGUUUGGACGGAGGAAGAAUGUAGAAAUUUUGAACAAGGUCUUAAGGCUUAUGGGAAAGAUUUUCAUCUCAUUCAAGCCAACAAGGUGAGAACACGGUCUGUAGGAGAGUGUGUGGCGUUUUAUUACAUGUGGAAGAAGUCCGAGCGCUACGACUUCUUUGCACAGCAAACACGACUUGGCAAGAGGAAGUACAACCUUCACCCGGGUGUGACGGAUUAUAUGGACAGACUACUGGACGAGACCGAGAGUGCUGCGUCGAGUCGAGCGGCCACACCUCCUCCCACCACCUCCAGCAGCAACACCAGCCAUUCGGAACGGGAGGAUGGCUCCGCUCACAACGGCGUGGGCGGUCACAGCAGCGUGUCGAGCGCAGACUCCGGGCUGCUGUCAGGCAGCGAGGUGAAGAGUGACUCGCUGCAGUCGGGCCGAGCAGAGCGCCUCCUCCCUGAGCCCCACGACUCCAACGGCUGUGAGCCUAUUGCCGUCGGCAGCGGAGACAGAAACGGCGCCGUAAAACGGCCGCAGGACAGCCAAGCCAUGGACAGGCAGUCUAAAAAAUGCAGGACAGAUUCAGACCCCCUUGCCCAGGUCAACGUGGACUCCCCCAGGGUCAAGGAAGACUGAACUGCCAGUGGAGCAGAGACCAAAGGCCAGACCAAAUCCAGCAAAUGAGAGGGGGAUUUAUUUUAGCACCCUGACUGUAGGGAGUGGGACAGUCUCCCCUAGAGUCUCCUCCACAACCAAAGCAAAGCGUCCAGCUGAAGACGGCGGGGACACCACAGCCAAACUCCUACUAAUGUCGUAACCAAUUACUGCUUCAGAUUCACACCCCUCACCAUUUUACACAGAAAAUGUCUAUUCUAUUUGUAUUGGAAUUUGUCCAAUAAUUUUUUUUACUUGCAAGAUAUUUAUAUUUUUUAAUGGAACCACGCUGACAGUGGGAGUCUCCGUCAGGUCCUUUUUAGGCUGGAGGGAGGGAGGGACGGUUUGAUGUUUCUGCAGGAACGCUGAAGUUGCACUUUUGUACUGUAUGUUGGCAUCGGGCACUGCGUGGGGCUUGUUUGUGUAGAGCGUGAGGGGCGGAGAGGGCAGAGCUGCUCUGGCCAGGCCCAUGACGCCUUCAUCCAGGUUUGACAUCAGGGAUGUCUGCUACUCAUGUGUUUGCUAGCCGUGUUUUGAUGACGACAAAACAAAUCUGUUUUUGUGGGCUUUCCAACCACUCCACCAAGUCUGAGAGGCAUCUGUCUUUGGACCUAAGCUCCAGAAUUGCUAGAGAAGAAAAGCAGCAGGUGCCGUCGUCCCAUAACUACGGUAGAGAAACGCGCUCACCCCGAAAGAACGAAGGGUGCGAGUCGUACUGGAGAGCUAAUGUGGUGGUAUCUCACCGUUACAAGUUUGUUCGACAGCUUCACGACAGAAACGAAGCUUUCGGUACAAUUUCGUAGACAGAGUUACAGGUGUGUGUAUAUAAAAUGGGAUCAAGAACACUCACCCCAACACCAGUUGUCCGAUUGCAUUUAAUGCACAACCUGCAGAAAAUCUGAAAAAAUGUUCAUCUACUAGACCAGAUAGCUUUUGUUCUGAUAUUUGUAAAUGAACCUAAGAUUUAAUGCUUAAUCAUGAAUUAUCUUACAUAAUAUAUUACUCAACAAAGACACAAUGUACUGAGGUGAUCCAUACUAUUGGUGCUUCAGCUGUAAAUUAUCCACGGUGAAUAGCACUCAGCAUAUUAAGUUUUCUACAUUGCACGUGAUUAAAAUGUCCCAGUUUACAUAAUGGUCUAAAACAUUUGAGGUAAACCCUAGCACACUACUUUAGGGGGUGUUUUACUCCUUGUAUCAAUGUGUUGUUGGUGACUUGGAUCAAGGUCACCUAAUUUGUCCACAUGAAACUAUUUGUAGGUGCUCCCAUCGUGACUGCGGUAUGAACAGAUCACCCGUGCCAUAGCUGUAGGUGGUCAGACACGGAUCUUGCCAAAUGGAUGCGAGUGUAAAUGGAAUGUGUAUUCUUCAUUCAGGUACUGAAAAACGACUACUGAACUUCUCCCAUGCCCAGAGGCCACAGCUUCUCCUCAACACACACAGAUGCUUCACUGCCUGCUUUAAACUUUCU
RNA transcript from Electrophorus electricus (electric eel), 3001 nucleotides. It is a transcript of the gene named mesoderm induction early response 1b, transcriptional regulator, with no coding region annotated. NCBI's taxonomy places the organism in Eukaryota, Metazoa, Chordata, Actinopteri, Gymnotiformes, Gymnotidae. The record is from RefSeq and is a predicted model, not a curated record.